Schizothecium vesticola is the source of this 86-nucleotide non-coding RNA. NCBI's taxonomy places the organism in Eukaryota, Fungi, Ascomycota, Sordariomycetes, Sordariales, Schizotheciaceae. The record is from the annotation of a GenBank genome assembly.
UCCCUUAUAGUGUAGAGGUUUAGCAUUUCAGAUUUUCACUGUAAAGAGAUCUUCUGAGGACCCGGGUUCGAACCCCGGUGAGGGAG